CCCCGCGUGGACCGGCAGAUGAUCCGGCCCUCCGGGAGUCGGGGCGUCCGGUUCCGCAACCGGUCUCGGGGA
This 72-nucleotide transfer RNA is filed under the name Streptomyces libani subsp. rufus. RNAcentral's name for it is "tRNA-Arg". The record is from RNAcentral. Lineage: Bacteria; Bacillati; Actinomycetota; Actinomycetes; Kitasatosporales; Streptomycetaceae.